Molecule: RNase P RNA, 329 nt
Filed under: Gammaproteobacteria bacterium RBG_16_51_14
Lineage: Bacteria; Pseudomonadati; Pseudomonadota; Gammaproteobacteria
Description: RNase P RNA component class A
Rfam family: Bacterial RNase P class A
About the family: Ribonuclease P (RNase P) is a ubiquitous endoribonuclease, found in archaea, bacteria and eukarya as well as chloroplasts and mitochondria. Its best characterised activity is the generation of mature 5'-ends of tRNAs by cleaving the 5'-leader elements of precursor-tRNAs. Cellular RNase Ps are ribonucleoproteins.
Source: RNAcentral
GGAGUCGACCAGACAAUCGCCCCGCACGGGGAGGAAAGUCCGGGCUCCACAGGGCAGGGUGCCAGAUAACAUCUGGGAGGCGUGAGCCUACGGAAAGUGCCGCAGAAAACAAACCGCCAAUUUGGCAAGGGUGAAAAGGUGCGGUAAGAGCGCACCGCGCUGGUAGUAAUAUCAGUGGCAGGGUAAACCCCACCCGGAGCAAGACCGAAUAGGGGGACUAGCAUGUGGCCCGCAUGGUUCCCGGGUAGGUCGCUGGAGGUGUAUGGUGACAUACAUCCAAGAUGAAUGAUUGUCCAAGACAGAACCCGGCUUACAGGUCGACUCCCAUC